Molecule: long non-coding RNA, 679 nt
Organism: Oncorhynchus tshawytscha (Chinook salmon)
Lineage: Eukaryota; Metazoa; Chordata; Actinopteri; Salmoniformes; Salmonidae
Source: Ensembl
GUUCUCUGCUACUGCCUGGGUGUCAUGCUACCCUAGAUGAAGUUCUCUGCUACUGCCUGGGUGUCAUGCCACCCCUAGAGGAGGUUCUCUGCUUCUGCCUGGGUGUCAUGCCACCCUAGAGGAGGUUCUCUGCUACUGCCUGGGUGUCAUGCUACCCUAGAUGAAGUUCUCUGCUACUGCCUGGGUGUCAUGCCACCCUAGAUGAAGUUCUCUGCUACUGCCUGGGUGUCAUGCUACCCUAGAUGAAGUUCUCUGCUACUGCCUGCGUGUCAUGCCACCCCUAGAGGAGGUUCUCUGCUACUGCUUGCGUGUCACCCUAGAGGAGGUUAUCUGCUACUGCCUGCGUGUCACCCCUAGAGGAGGUGCUCUGCUACUGCCUGCGUGUCACCCCUAGAGGAGGUUUUCUGCUACUGCCUGCGUGUCACCCCGAGAGGAGGUUCUCUGCUACUGCCCGCGUGUCCCCCCUAGAGGAGGGCACCUUGAUUGGUCCUAGACAGGGUUACCUGCCUCGCCUCGCUCCUUACCGUAUGGGCCGAGAACAGCAGUCUGCUGCUCGUACUGGGCGCAGAUGAAAUGAUAAACACCUCAUCUGUCCCCAAGUCCAGUUCCGUGAGACCAUUGGAUGAGAGGUCCACUUCAGCAUGCUCAGACAUAUCACCACCAACACUGACCGGGGAAC